Trifolium pratense (red clover) is the source of this 657-nucleotide long non-coding RNA. RefSeq lists it as uncharacterized. The transcript is spliced from 3 exons. The record is from RefSeq and is a predicted model, not a curated record. Lineage: Eukaryota; Viridiplantae; Streptophyta; Magnoliopsida; Fabales; Fabaceae.
AUGAGGCUAAUGUCCAAACUCCAAAGUGAGUUCAUGACAUGGUUUGUUUGUGCAACAUUUGAAGGCAAUGUUCCAAAAUGGAACCGCGGUGGGACAGAGCCAGACGCUCAUUUUCUAAUGCUACUAUUUCUGGCUUCUUGAUUUCAUAGCAAAUGGGGGACACUAGACGCGCGCGGUGGCGGAAAGCACAAUUGAAACCAAGGACUUAGUAGAUUUGAUUCCUAUCUGGAAGGAUUGCAUUUGUUAGAGUUGGAGUUGUGCCGUGAAUUAUAAAACCACACAAAAACCAGAACUGCGCCGUCUUCUACCUCGCAAGUGUGUCGUUCCUUCUACCUCGCCGUGCUGCCCCAAACAUCCCAACAAUCCCGCCAACCACCACACUUCUCCUUCAUUAGGGGUUUUAAUAUUUCAAUAAUUGAAAAAUGUUGUGAUUGCUAAAAUGAUCAAGUUGUUUGAUUCUUCCAGGUUAAUGAUGAAGUUUGCUGUAAAAUGAUGGAAUUGAUUGAUUCUUCUUUGUUUUGUGGAGAUCAUCAUUGAAACAAAGAGAAGAUCCAUGAGGCUAAUAUCCAAGGUUUUUGCUUUAACAUUUGGUGCCAUUAAUUAUAGUAAAAUUAUAUAUUUUAUAUUCAAUGAAAAGCAAGAAAAUUUAUUCAAUUU